AUUUUGUCCACGCUAUUUCUCGUAAUUGGUCAGACCCAUGUUGAUGGAACUAUACCAUAAUGUGAACCGCCAUGUGAAGUUGUGCAAGAGACAUUGGAAUGGUAAACAAUGGCCGCCGUUACCAUGGAAACUACAAAAAUGUAAAAAAAAAUCCAAAUUUUAAAUCUUUCGUUGUAAGAGGCAAAGUCUUGAAAGUUUGAGUAAAUGUUGGCAGUGGUGCCCCGAGGUACCAACAGUACUUGGAAUUUUCAAAAUGGCUGCCAUUGCCAUGGAAACUGGACAAAAGUUUAACAUUGACCCUAUGGGAAAAUGCAUUUAAGCUGCAUUUUCUUUAAAAAUAUAACAACAAUUCCACGGAAAUCGUAAUUAGGAGUAUGUGCAUAGGGUCACAUGCAAUGCUGUACUGCUAACAUGUACUAGAAUAUUCUAGAAUAAAAAUAUGUAUUUUAUUUAAUGUGCUUUAAAAGAGAAAAUCGCCACCGACAGAACGAGAAACACUCAGAGUACAAAUUGCUGACAUUUCUGCACUUGCGUUAAAGUACAUAUCCGUGAAUGACACACCUGCUAAAAUUUACACAUUAGCUGAAAUCAAUCGAUAAACAUGUAAUUAAAUUGUACACGAUAAGUUACAUGUAUUGUGUGAUACGCGAGCUAUUGAAGAAUAAAUUGAACAGUUAAUACGCCGCUCCGUCAAUAUAUACACAUGUUGUCUGUCCAACGUCCCCUCUAAAAAGAAUAUUAAUAUGCUAAGUCCACGAUAAUAUACUUCAGUAUCACGUGACACCACCUUCCUACUCGCGCGCGUGUCUAAUUUUAGAUUUAAAAAGGAUUCCCAAACUAUGUAUAGAACUGAAACGUAUUCUAC
Molecule: long non-coding RNA, 865 nt
Filed under: Mytilus galloprovincialis (Mediterranean mussel)
Lineage: Eukaryota; Metazoa; Mollusca; Bivalvia; Mytilida; Mytilidae
Source: RNAcentral